Molecule: ribosomal RNA, 468 nt
Filed under: uncultured bacterium
Lineage: Bacteria
Description: partial 16S ribosomal RNA
Rfam family: Bacterial small subunit ribosomal RNA
Source: RNAcentral
GACGAACGCUGGCGGCGUGCUUAACACAUGCAAGUCGAACGGAAAGGCCCUGCUUUUGUGGGGUGCUCGAGUGGCGAACGGGUGAGUAACACGUGAGUAACCUGCCCUUGACUUUGGGAUAACUUCAGGAAACUGGGGCUAAUACCGGAUAGGAGCUCCUGCUGCAUGGUGGUGGUUGGAAAGUUUCGGCGGUUGGGGAUAGACUCGCGGCUUAUCAGCUUGUUGGUGGGGUAGUGGCUUACCAAGGCUUUGACGGGUAGCCGGCCUGAGAGGGUGACCGGCCACAUGGGGACUGAGAUACGGCCCAGACUCCUACGGGAGGCAGCAGGGGGGAAUAUUGCACAAUGGGCGGAAGCCUGAUGCAGCAACGCCGCGUGCGGGAUGACGGCCUUCGGGUUGUAAACCGCUUUCGCCUGUGACGAAGCGUGAGUGACGGUAAUGGGUAAAGAAGCACCGGCUAACUACGUG